Molecule: long non-coding RNA, 548 nt
Organism: Girardinichthys multiradiatus
Lineage: Eukaryota; Metazoa; Chordata; Actinopteri; Cyprinodontiformes; Goodeidae
Exons: 2
Source: RefSeq, a predicted model, not a curated record
AGGUAAUCAGGAGGAGCAUGAAGGUUUGCAGAGUCCUCGAGGCUGAUGUCAGAUUGGUUUUGUUCACCAGUUUUGUAAUCUGAGCUAUCAUCUCUAGUACUUUGUCUCAAAACUAUUUUCUAAUAGUUCUCUCUCCUGCAGACAUUGCCUCUCAUCUUGACCCGAGUGCCUACACUAAUCUCCUCACAUGUCCUCCUCUGCACUCCAGACGUCACCCCCUAUGUGCCUCAGUGUACCAGCUUGCUGCAUCUCUAGUUGCCAUCCUGUUGCCUGCUGCUUCUCUGAUUACUCACUUGUUGCCUGCUGCUGGAACUACCUCUGAUGUCACUCACUCACCUACCAGUCUGCCCUCCUGCACUCAUCAGUAAACACGAAACAUCAGCCAUUACCAACCCUCAACCCAUCAUCCUCCGAUGACCUCCUCAGGUGGUCGUAUCACCUUCUCCAGCCGGUUUCCUCUCGUCAGAAACAUGCUCCUUCUUGAGGCCCGUGUGGGAUCCACUUCGAAACUGUUUGUUUGCCUGUAUAAUAAACCUGAUUUGACUUUC